GCCUCCAUGGCGGCGGUGCAGGCGGGCGGCGGCGUUGGACCCCAAUGGUGGCUCGCGCGGGCGGCGGGGUUGUCUAAGUUUUUUUUGUUGUUGCAAAAAUCACCAUGAACUACGUCUGUGACAAGCUUUCCUUUAGUUUUUAUCUCUUGACCCGUACUCUAUCAUCUUUUUAAUUUAUUUAUUUGAACCAGAAACCGAAUCAAUAUUUCUAUCCGUCAUCCUUCAUUACUUUCACCUGACAUAUGGGGAUGGCUGACAUGAGGGCGUCCAAACAAAAUAUCUGUACCACGUGACCAGGUACAGGUCCAGAGUAAGCCCUUAACAGAGCCAACGUCCGUCCGCUCCCCCGUCGGGAACUGUCAGUACGUACACUGUGGCCUGCAGCGUAUACAUCGUUUUGAAUUCAUGUAUUCCUUUGACAGUGACCUGCAGAACAGAUCUCGAUGCUUGCCUGGGCGGCUCAGAUUUCGGGUUCACCUGGACCUGAGAGCCAAAACGCCCCGCUGCAUUGUUAAAUUCCACAGGGGAAAUGAUAGUACGUACGUAGAAAUGGCAUCAUGGUGACGGCAUUUUUUUUAAAGAAAUAAAGAAUUAAGUAGCUCAUCUAAAGCUUUAGUGCAAAUCUGUGUUUAUUUUUCUAAAUGAAUCUUUAAUGAAUCAAAUCUUGUUUAAGAGCUUCAUCAUCCAUGUGUUAG
This 695-nucleotide long non-coding RNA is filed under the name Triticum aestivum (bread wheat). RNAcentral describes it as "long non-coding RNA (TAES_LNC019524)". The record is from RNAcentral. Lineage: Eukaryota; Viridiplantae; Streptophyta; Magnoliopsida; Poales; Poaceae.